GACAGAGGAGCCAAGCGUUGUCCGGACUGACUGGGCGUAAAGCGCACGCAGGCGGUCGGGCAAGUGUCGUGUGAAAGCGAGCGGCUUAACUGCUCGAGGCCAUGGCAAACUGCCUGACUGGAGCGCUGGAGAGGUCGGUGGAAUUGCCGGUGUAGUGGUGAAAUGCGUAGAGAUCGGCAGGAACACCCAGGGGGAAGCCAACCGACUGGCCAGCCGCUGACGCUGAGGUGCGACAGCGUGGGGAGCGAACCGG
Molecule: ribosomal RNA, 253 nt
Filed under: uncultured bacterium
Lineage: Bacteria
Description: partial 16S ribosomal RNA
Rfam family: Bacterial small subunit ribosomal RNA
Source: RNAcentral